GCGCGAAAACUUUNCAAUGCGGGAAACCGUGACAGGGGAACUCCGAGUGCCCGUUAAAUCGGGCUGUCCACCAGUUUAAAUAACUGGUGAAGAAAGGGCCGGGCAAGACCGGUGCCAGCCGCCGCGGUAAUACCGGCGGCUCGAGUGGUGGCCACUAUUACUGGGCUUAAAGCGUUCGUAGCUGGUUUGUUAAGUCUCUGGGGAAAUCUUCCGGCUUAACCGGAAGGCGUCUCAGGGAUACUGGCAGACUAGGGACCGGGAGAGGUGAGGGGUACUCCAGGUGUAGGA
Molecule: ribosomal RNA, 288 nt
Filed under: uncultured archaeon
Lineage: Archaea
Description: partial 16S ribosomal RNA
Rfam family: Archaeal small subunit ribosomal RNA
Source: RNAcentral